UGCGUAGGCGGGGCAAUUAGUCAGUGGUGAAAUCCUGCGGCUUAACCGUAGAAUUGCCAUUGAUACUGUUGCCCUUGAGUAUAGUUGAAGUGGGCGGAAUAUGUAAUGUAGCGGUGAAAUGCAUAGAGAUUACAUAGAACACCAAUUGCGAAGGCAGCUCACUAAGCUAUCACUGACGCUGAGGCACGAAAGCGUGGGGAGCGAACAGGAUUAGAUACCCUGGCAGUCC
Molecule: ribosomal RNA, 229 nt
Filed under: uncultured bacterium
Lineage: Bacteria
Description: partial 16S ribosomal RNA
Rfam family: Bacterial small subunit ribosomal RNA
Source: RNAcentral